UUCUUCUUCUUCUGCU
RNAcentral lists this small RNA (16 nucleotides) under Arabidopsis thaliana (thale cress). RNAcentral describes it as "ATSL020790". The record is from RNAcentral. Lineage: Eukaryota; Viridiplantae; Streptophyta; Magnoliopsida; Brassicales; Brassicaceae.